RNAcentral lists this ribosomal RNA (253 nucleotides) under uncultured bacterium. RNAcentral describes it as "partial 16S ribosomal RNA". It matches the Rfam family "Bacterial small subunit ribosomal RNA", at positions 524 to 776 of the family's 1533-position model. The record is from RNAcentral.
UACGAAGGGAGCUAGCGUUGUUCGGAAUUAUUGGGCGUAAAGCGCGCGUAGGCGGUUACUUAAGUCGGAUGUGAAAGCCCUCGGCUUAACUGAGGAAGUGCACCCGAAACUGAGUAGCUAGAGUACGAAAGAGGGUCGCGGAAUUCCCGGUGUAGAGGUGAAAUUCGUAGAUAUCGGGAGGAACACCGGUGGCGAAGGCGGCGACCUGGGUCGAGACUGACGCUGAGGCGCGAAAGCGUGGGGAGCAAACAGG